CUCUACUUCCGGCGCGUCUGCAUAUCGAAUACGCACGCCGCACGGCUUCGGUUACACAAUCCUGGACUCGUACCCGCCGAUGUAGUCCUCACUCUAGGAGCAUCGGAUCCUGAUAACUCAGGGGAUAGAAAGAGCGAUGUGUUUGCUAUCGAUCCGCACGACGCUAAAAUCGCCCCGAUGUCUACCGGUAUAUUUACCGUGUCAUUCGCACCUACAGGUUUAGGGAAUUACGCAGCGAAUCUACGCGUGACUCUUGCGCUUCCUCCACCAUUGGAUU
This 277-nucleotide unclassified non-coding RNA is filed under the name Athalia rosae (coleseed sawfly). Its description in RNAcentral is "misc RNA ENSAEAG00005002727.1". The record is from RNAcentral. Lineage: Eukaryota; Metazoa; Arthropoda; Insecta; Hymenoptera; Athaliidae.